RNAcentral lists this ribosomal RNA (419 nucleotides) under uncultured bacterium. RNAcentral's name for it is "bacterial SSU rRNA". It matches the Rfam family "Bacterial small subunit ribosomal RNA", at positions 382 to 793 of the family's 1533-position model. The record is from RNAcentral.
CCUGAUGCAGCCAUGCCGCGUGUAUGAAGAAGGCCUUCGGGUUGUAAAGUACUUUCAGCAGUGAGGAAGGCAGGUACGUUAAUAGCGUGCUUGUUUGACGUUAGCUGCAGAAGAAGCACCGGCUAACUCCGUGCCAGCAGCCGCGGUAAUACGGAGGGUGCGAGCGUUAAUCGGAAUUACUGGGCGUAAAGCGCAUGCAGGUGGUUUGUUAAGUCAGAUGUGAAAGCCCGGGGCUCAACCUCGGAAUUGCAUUUGAAACUGGCAGACUAGAGUACUGUAGAGGGGGUAGAAUUUCAGGUGUAGCGGUGAAAAUGCGUAGAGAUCUGAAGGAAUACCGGUGGCGAAGGCGGCCCCCUGGACAGAUACUGACACUCAGAUGCGAAAGCGUGGGGAGCAAACAGGAUUAGAUACCCUGGUAG